GCAAGGGGAGUGGCAGACGGGUGAGUAACACGUGGGAACAUACCCAAAGGUACGGAACAACUCCGGGAAACUGGAGCUAAUACCGUAUGUGUCCGUAAGGAGAAAGAUUUAUCGCCUUUGGAUCGGCCCGCGUCUGAUUAGCUAGUUGGUGAGGUAACGGCCCACCAAGGCGACGAUCAGUAGCUGGUCUGAGAGGAUGAUCAGCCUCACUGGGACUGAGACACGGCCCAGACUCCUACGGGAGGCAGCAGUGGGGAAUAUUGGACAAUGGGCGCAAGCCUGAUCCAGCCAUGCCGCGUGGGUGAUGAAGGCCCUAGGG
Molecule: ribosomal RNA, 319 nt
Filed under: uncultured bacterium
Lineage: Bacteria
Description: bacterial SSU rRNA
Rfam family: Bacterial small subunit ribosomal RNA
Source: RNAcentral